AGAGUUUGAUCCUGGCUCAGAACGAACGUUAGCGGCGCGCUUAACACAUGCAAGUCGAGCGAGAAAGGGCUUCGGCCCCGGUAAAGCGGCGCACGGGUGAGUAACACGUAGGUAAUUUGCCCCAAGGUGGUGGAUAACCUUCCGAAAGGAGGGCUAAUACAGCAUAUGACCACGCUCUCGAAAGGGAGUGAGGUAAAAGCCGGCCUCUUCACGAAAGCUGGCGCCAUGGGAUGAGCCUGCGGCCCAUCAGCUAGUUGGUAGGGUAAUGGCCUACCAAGGCGAAGACGGGUAGCUGGUCUGAGAGGAUGAUCAGCCACACUGGAACUGAGACACGGUCCAGACUCCUACGGGAGGCAGCAGUGGGGAAUCUUGCGCAAUGGGCGAAAGCCUGACGCAGCGACGCCGCGUGAGUGAUGAAGGCCUUCGGGUUGUAAAGCUCUGUGGAGGGGGACGAAUAAGUGUUGGCUAAUAUCCAGCAUGAUGACGGUACCCCUUAGCA
This 499-nucleotide ribosomal RNA is filed under the name uncultured Polyangiaceae bacterium. RNAcentral describes it as "bacterial SSU rRNA". It matches the Rfam family "Bacterial small subunit ribosomal RNA", at positions 8 to 488 of the family's 1533-position model. Lineage: Bacteria; Pseudomonadati; Myxococcota; Polyangiales; Polyangiaceae. The record is from RNAcentral.